Molecule: ribosomal RNA, 1223 nt
Filed under: Enterobacter asburiae
Lineage: Bacteria; Pseudomonadati; Pseudomonadota; Gammaproteobacteria; Enterobacterales; Enterobacteriaceae
Description: bacterial SSU rRNA
Rfam family: Bacterial small subunit ribosomal RNA
Source: RNAcentral
GCCUUAGCGGCAGCCUACACAUGCAGUCGAGCGGCAGCGGAAGUAGCUUGCUACUUUGCCGGCGAGCGGCGGACGGGUGAGUAAUGUCUGGGAAACUGCCUGAUGGAGGGGGAUAACUACUGGAAACGGUAGCUAAUACCGCAUAACGUCGCAAGACCAAAGAGGGGGACCUUCGGGCCUCUUGCCAUCAGAUGUGCCCAGAUGGGAUUAGCUAGUAGGUGGGGUAACGGCUCACCUAGGCGACGAUCCCUAGCUGGUCUGAGAGGAUGACCAGCCACACUGGAACUGAGACACGGUCCAGACUCCUACGGGAGGCAGCAGUGGGGAAUAUUGCACAAUGGGCGCAAGCCUGAUGCAGCCAUGCCGCGUGUAUGAAGAAGGCCUUCGGGUUGUAAAGUACUUUCAGCGGGGAGGAAGGCGUUGAGGUUAAUAACCUCAGCGAUUGACGUUACCCGCAGAAGAAGCACCGGCUAACUCCGUGCCAGCAGCCGCGGUAAUACGGAGGGUGCAAGCGUUAAUCGGAAUUACUGGGCGUAAAGCGCACGCAGGCGGUCUGUCAAGUCGGAUGUGAAAUCCCCGGGCUCAACCUGGGAACUGCAUUCGAAACUGGCAGGCUAGAGUCUUGUAGAGGGGGGUAGAAUUCCAGGUGUAGCGGUGAAAUGCGUAGAGAUCUGGAGGAAUACCGGUGGCGAAGGCGGCCCCCUGGACAAAGACUGACGCUCAGGUGCGAAAGCGUGGGGAGCAAACAGGAUUAGAUACCCUGGUAGUCCACGCCGUAAACGAUGUCGACUUGGAGGUUGUGCCCUUGAGGCGUGGCUUCCGGAGCUAACGCGUUAAGUCGACCGCCUGGGGAGUACGGCCGCAAGGUUAAAACUCAAAUGAAUUGACGGGGGCCCGCACAAGCGGGUGGAGCAUGUGGUUUAAUUUCGAUGCAACGCGAGAACCCUUACCUACUCUUGACAUCCAGAGAACUUAGCAGAGAUGCUUUGGGUGCCUUCGGGAACUCUGAAAACAGGUGCUGCAUGGCUGUCGUCAGCUCGUGUUGUGAAUGUGGGUUAAGUCCCGCAACGAAGCGGCAACUCAUAUCUUGUGCCAGCGAUUAGGCCGGGACUCAAGAGAACUGCCAGGUGAAAUAAACUGGAAGAAGUUGUGGAUGACGUCAAGUCAUCAUGUCCUUUACGAGAUUAGCGCUUACACACACGGUGUGCAUCUACAAGAUGUGC